GGGGUCAAGAAAUGCAUAUGGUUCAGGUAAGUGAAUUAACGAAGGGAAGUUAUAGUGCUUAAAUUAGUUUUGUUGUUGCAAAAAAAAAAAGAAUUUUACUUUGGUGAUGAGAUAAUAUAAUUGGAGACUAUGCUACUCCAGAGUGGAGAUUAGUAAAGUAAGGUGAAGUCCUCAGAAUGAGUGUGGUCAAAGGUUAUCAAGAGCAUAACAGAUGGUGAUUAAAUCAGAAGUUGCAGUGAUCAAGUCAGUGGCUUCUUAGAAGAAAUAAGAGGAGGUAAAAGGAUAUCAUGUUACCAAUAAGGGAGUAUUGGUAAAACCUGAAGAUAAGUUUUGAUGAUGCUGCAACUUGUAGUUUUUGAAUGUAAUAGGAAAAUACUUAAAAAGCAACUUGUAGAUUUUGAAUGUAGU
Molecule: long non-coding RNA, 408 nt
Filed under: Vigna radiata
Lineage: Eukaryota; Viridiplantae; Streptophyta; Magnoliopsida; Fabales; Fabaceae
Description: long non-coding RNA (VRAD_LNC008384)
Source: RNAcentral